AAAGAGAGCCGUAACACAGGUGCUGCAUGGCUGUCGUCAGCUCGUGUCGUGAGAUGUUGGGUUAAGUCCCGCAACGAGCGCAACCCUUGUCAUUAGUUGCUACAUUUGGUUGGGCACUCUAAUGAGACUGCCGGUGACAAGCCGGAGGAAGGUGGGGAUGACGUCAAGUCCUCAUGGCCCUUAUAGGUGGGGCUACACACGUCAUACAAUGGCUGGUACAAAGGGUUGCCAACCCGCGAGGGGGAGCUAAUCCCACAAAGCCAGUCGUAGUCCGGAUCGUAGUCUGCAACUCGACUACGUGAAGUCGGAAUCGCUAGUAAUCGUGGAUCAGAAUGUCACGGUGAAUACGUUCCCGGGUCUU
RNAcentral lists this ribosomal RNA (361 nucleotides) under uncultured Rhodoferax sp. RNAcentral's name for it is "bacterial SSU rRNA". It matches the Rfam family "Bacterial small subunit ribosomal RNA", at positions 1019 to 1382 of the family's 1533-position model. The record is from RNAcentral. Lineage: Bacteria; Pseudomonadati; Pseudomonadota; Betaproteobacteria; Burkholderiales; Comamonadaceae.